Amaranthus tricolor (Joseph's coat) is the source of this 101-nucleotide small nucleolar RNA. RefSeq annotates it as small nucleolar RNA snoR97. The transcript has a single exon. NCBI's taxonomy places the organism in Eukaryota, Viridiplantae, Streptophyta, Magnoliopsida, Caryophyllales, Amaranthaceae. The record is from RefSeq and is a predicted model, not a curated record.
GUGAAAUUGUGGAUAUAUAGUCUGAAAAACUCAUAAAGUGAGUGUAGUCAUCAGCUUCUUCCCUUGUUUUUUUAGGGACUGGAGUUAACAGCACAACAUUU